This 694-nucleotide ribosomal RNA is filed under the name Ellychnia sp. CO1197. RNAcentral's name for it is "bacterial SSU rRNA". It matches the Rfam family "Eukaryotic small subunit ribosomal RNA", at positions 718 to 1323 of the family's 1831-position model. Lineage: Eukaryota; Metazoa; Arthropoda; Insecta; Coleoptera; Lampyridae. The record is from RNAcentral.
CGGUUCGUCGCUCGCGACGCCAACUGGCGCGCACCGCUGGACGUCCAGCCGGUACAACGAACUCGCCUACGGGGUGCUCUUAACCGAGUGUCCAGGCGGGGGCCGGCAACGUUACUUUGAACAAAUUAAAGUGCUUAAAGCAGGCUAAAUUGCGCUCGCAUACACGCGCAUGGAAUAAUCGAAUAGGACCUCCGUUCUAUUUUGUUGGGUUUUUGUGGAACGACAGACGGAGGUAAUGAUCAAUGGGUGCGGAUGGGGGCAUUCGUAUUGCGACGUUAGAGGUGAAAUUCUUGGAUCGUCGCAAGACGGACUUAAGCGAAAGCAUUUGCCAAAAACGCUUUCAUCGAUCAAGAACGAAAGUUAGAGGUUCGAAGGCGAUCAGAUACCGCCCUAGUUCUAACCAUAAACUAUGCCAGCUAGCGAUCCGCCGAAGUUACUUCUAUGACUCGGCGGGCAGCUUCCGGGAAACCAAAGCUUUCGGGUUCCGGGGGAAGUAUGGUUGCAAAGCUGAAACUUAAAGGAAUUGACGGAAGGGCACCACCAGGAGUGGAGCCUGCGGCUUAAUUUGACUCAACACGGGAAACCUCACCAGGCCCGGACACCGGAAGGAUUGACAGAUUGAGAGCUCUUUCUUGAUUCGGUGGGUGGUGGUGCAUGGCCGUUCUUAGUUGGUGGAGCGAUUUGUCUGGUUAAU